Pimephales promelas (fathead minnow) is the source of this 622-nucleotide non-coding RNA. Lineage: Eukaryota; Metazoa; Chordata; Actinopteri; Cypriniformes; Leuciscidae. The record is from RefSeq and is a predicted model, not a curated record.
ACGAUUUUAUUUCUUUGAGCAACGAAAAGUAUUGAAAGUAUUAGAAAAGUAUUGAUUUAGCAGCAUUUGUUUUGUUUUCGUAAGGUUUGCUGGCUGUAAGCUGAACGCUGAGUUGACUUUCUGUUUAGCAUUACACUUGUGUGAGUUCCAGACGAGUUAGUGCUUACUACAAGUAGUACAAACGAAAUAGUGGCUAAGUAGCUAAAUACUAAAGUGGACUUUAAAUACCAGCGUGAAUAGCCGUGAUAAGGAGAAGCUGCACGAUCCAGGUAACGCCCUGAAUCACCGAGAGGUUCAGGGUUCCCCUGGCAACGGGGGAUUGCGAGGAUCGCCAGGACGCGCAUAUCAGUGAGAACUGAGUGAUUAAAGUUUCCUAGGGAGGACUCUUCACUACGGAGUUGAGAUCGUUGUUUGAUGUGGUUCGUGUUGGUGUUCCGUGUCCAGUUCCUGCCUUGUGUUCCUGUUCUUUGUCUGGAUCUAGUGAUUUCUACGUUCGUCUCACCAUCAUCUCUUCACCGCACUUCUUCACGGAUCCUGACCAUCUUGUCCCUGCGUCACGGUGGAGAGCUAAUGCAGGAAAAGAGGUCAAAAGAGACGCUGAAGUCCUGCUUUCUCGACAGGU